Mycena maculata is the source of this 94-nucleotide non-coding RNA. Lineage: Eukaryota; Fungi; Basidiomycota; Agaricomycetes; Agaricales; Mycenaceae. The record is from the annotation of a GenBank genome assembly.
CGCCCGGUAGCAUAUGGCGUGCACCUGCUUUCCCUAGAAGGACAUUUCAUUGGAUGUAAUGCGGGAGGCCCCCGUUCGAUUCGGGGCCGGGUGA